GUAAAUGUCUAGCCGGGAGCCCAUCUAUCCUGCCUCAAUUGCACUCCGGAUGUGCUGACCCCUGUGAUUUCCCCAAAUGUGCGAAACUCGACUGCAUAAUUUGUGGUAGUGGGGAACUGCGUUCAUGCUUUUCCCUG
This 137-nucleotide small nuclear RNA is filed under the name Monodon monoceros (narwhal). RNAcentral's name for it is "U1 spliceosomal RNA (ENSMMNG00015017608.1)". It matches the Rfam family "U1 spliceosomal RNA", at positions 34 to 166 of the family's 166-position model. From Rfam's summary of the family: U1 is a small nuclear RNA (snRNA) component of the spliceosome (involved in pre-mRNA splicing). Its 5' end forms complementary base pairs with the 5' splice junction, thus defining the 5' donor site of an intron. Lineage: Eukaryota; Metazoa; Chordata; Mammalia; Artiodactyla; Monodontidae. The record is from RNAcentral.